AUUCUAGAAUAAUGAGCAAAGGAGAAACCGGUAAAAUCCCAUAAAAAUUCUGUGCACGGGAGUCCGGACGAAGACGCAGGACGCGUGUAAGGUAUGCCAGAAUAAAUGGUGGACACACUGUGAAUGUGGAUACCCUCCAAUAGGAGUUUGCACACAGUGUUGGAAAAUCCAAAGAACUCUUACUGAGUGGAAAUUAAAACAAUUAGAGUCUAAACAAGAAAUUAUUCGAGAAU
Long non-coding RNA from Falco peregrinus (peregrine falcon), 233 nucleotides. RefSeq lists it as uncharacterized. The record is from RefSeq and is a predicted model, not a curated record. Lineage: Eukaryota; Metazoa; Chordata; Aves; Falconiformes; Falconidae. The transcript has 2 exons.